ACUCAAAUGAAUUGACGGGGGCCCGCACAAGCAGCGGAGCGUGUGGUUUAAUUCGAUGCAACGCGAAGAACCUUACCUAGGCUUGACAUGACGGAAGUAGAACCCCGAAAGGGGAACGACUCGUAAAGUCGAGAACCGCCACAGAUGCUGCAUGGCUGUCGUCAGCUCGUGCCGUGAGGUGUUGGGUUAAGUCCCGCAACGAGCGCAACCCUCGGCGUUAGUUACCAUGUCUAACGCGACUGCCGGUUUCAAACCGGAGGAAGGUGGGGAUGACGUCAAGUCAGCACGGCUCUUACGUCUAGGGCUACACACACGCUACAAUGGCCGGUACAACGGGAAGCGAAAGGGCGACCUGGAGCAAAUCCUAUCAAAGCCGGUCUCAGUUGGGAUUGCAGGCUGAAACUCGCCUGCAUGAACGCGGAGUUGCUAGUAACCGCAGGUCAGCACACUGCGGUGAAUACGUUCCCGGGCCUUGUACACACCGCCCGU
Molecule: ribosomal RNA, 489 nt
Filed under: uncultured bacterium
Lineage: Bacteria
Description: partial 16S ribosomal RNA
Rfam family: Bacterial small subunit ribosomal RNA
Source: RNAcentral